UUUUUUGGUAAAUCAAAUUUGGCUCUCAUCAAUGAUAUGAUAUUUAUCUAAGGAUUUACAAAGACGUGUAUCAAGUAUCUUAUUAAAAAGGCUUCCCCAAUGAAUCAGUAAUUGUAAUUCCUCGAUAGUUAUUAAGAUCGGAUGCAUCAUUCCCUUUAUGAAUUGGGAAUAAAAAAUGUGUGGUCCAGGGUUCAUGGUAUUUUCCAUAAGAAAGACAAAGAUGUAUAAUGGAUAGCAUGGUACCAAUAGGCGUAUUCAGAAUUUUCUAAAACCACGGGUAAUAAUUAUACCUGAACUUCGAAUUUGCACCUUAUAAUCAGCUUGACUAUAUACCAAAUGAAAAUACGAC
RNAcentral lists this long non-coding RNA (349 nucleotides) under Mytilus galloprovincialis (Mediterranean mussel). The record is from RNAcentral. Lineage: Eukaryota; Metazoa; Mollusca; Bivalvia; Mytilida; Mytilidae.